CGGGCGAAUUUUUUUUUUGGACGAGGUUACGACUUAGCCGCUGGAGCGAAAGUGGUCUGUUAGUACGAGGCUCGCAGCGCAGCUUUGAUUCUCGGUAGUCAAUGGACAUGUUACAACCACGAUUUUGACGGGGCCCCAGUUUUGAACGUCACGUCGGCUGAACGUGGUUUUCUCGGCACAAAUCGACUUCAAAUAUAUUGGACGGCAGAUGUUAAUAGUCUUUACUGGCAAAUGCAACGUGUAGACAACACGAGAGAGUCACUUGGAAAAGGCAAAGCUGUGAAGAAUGGAGAGAUGUCGCUAGGAGUGUGGGACAGCGUAUGCAGUACAUAUGAUGGAGCCAUGCAACUCUCUUAUUCCUAUCAAUGGAAAUACAAAUGGUUGGCAAUUCUUGAGAAACAAUUGUGCUAUAUGUUGCUGAGAAAAAUGUCCAACAUUUCUUUAUAUAGAGCCAAGAUCAUUUAGUCUGCAUGGGAAUCAACAAAAUCAUUGUCUCAACUGCAUGGCCAGCACAAGCCCUAUCUUAAAUUCUGUUUGUCCGUACGUCCUACUGUCAACUGUCUGUUUGCCUGUCUGCAGCCUUUCUGUUUGUCUUUCCAUAUAUUUUCCUAAAUGAAGUUAGAAAGUUUGAAACAAUAUAAAAGCAAGCAAGGCUAAGUACAGUUCACACUGUCCAACAGCUAAAUACAACUUGCAGAUUAAGCAAAGUAAAGGGACAUAAAUGUCCUUGUCUGUCUGUCUGUCUGUCUCAAUACAUAUAUUUUCCAUUUAAAUCAAACAUUUACAUCUGUCUGUCUGUCUGUCUGUCUGUUUUCAUUGACUGUAUAAGUCAAUCAACAUAGUGACUGUAUAAAUAGAUCAAUAUUGACUGUAUAUAUCAAUUCAUAUCGACUAUAUAAAAUUAAUCAAUAAUGACUGUAUAAAUCAAUCAAUAAUGACUGUAUAAAUCAAUCAAUAUUGACUGUAUGUAUCAAUCAAUAUAAUGACUGUGAAAUCAGUCAGCAUUGAUUGAUUUAUACAUUCAAACUGAUUGAUAUACACAGUCAAUAUUGGUUGAUUUAUACAGUCAAUAUUGAUUGAUUUAUAGUCAUUAUGGUGAUUAAUUUAUACAGUCAAUAUUGAUUAAUUUUAUAUAGUCAAUACACAGUCAAUAUUGAUUGAUUUAUGCAGUCAAUACUGAGUAAUAUGUACAGUCAAUAUUGAUUUAUUUAUACAGUCAAUAUUGAUUAGUAUAUACAGUCAAUAAUGGUUCUACGUUAAUUAGUACAUACAUACAUACAUCCAUACGAGCAAAUGAAUUUGGUACAUGUACCUGUUUGUCUGUCAAUUUAUGCUGUUGAUCUAGCAAAGCCUGUAACUGUGUGUGUGUGUGUGUGUGUGUGCACGCUCACAUGUGUCGUUGCAUGCUUGCGUGUGCAUGAAUAGUGUAGAGUAGUGUAAUGUAGAUACACAUAUAGAGAGAUAUGCUAAGUAGCUGUACACAAACAGACACACAGACACAUGGUCUUGGACAGAGAAAAUAAACACGCAUAUGCACAUCACACGUGUGUGUGUGUGUGUGUGUGUGUGUGUGUGUGUGUGUGUGUGUGUGUGUGUGUGUGUGUGUGUGUGUACCUGUGACGGUGUCUAUAGAUCUGGGUUAUGGUUAUGUGUGCAGAUGCAUAUCCUUGCAUGUUUAUGUGUAUAGUAUUGCUAUGUUUACUGGUGUAGUAAUAUAUAUAUAUAUAUAUAUAUAUAUAUAUAUAUAUAUAUAUAUAUAUAUAUAUAUAUAUAUAUACCUAUAUGUAACAUGACAUUUGUGCAAACAAACAGUACUGGAUCAUCAUGCCAUGAAUUCUUCGACUACUGUAUCAGGUUAAUGUCUUUCAGUGAGACUUGUUCUCUGUAUAGCCAUUGUCAACGUGGGUUUUAGUCUUCUAGGUGACCGCAUCAACCAAACAUCAAUCUAUGGAUACCAUGCAUCUCAAGAGAGAGUUUCUGUCUACAGUUUGCAGCCGAAGCUGCCCUAUCUAUAGUAAUUCUUUUUCUUCCUGGCAGCUUUCUGAAAUAGAACAAAGUACAGGAGUAUGGCAUACUGUAGCAGACCUCGUACUGAAUUCUAUGACCCAUAAUUACUACACAUAUAAUGCGAAUUUUUUGAACGACGUAUAUAUAGAAGCAGAGGAAUUUAUGUUUUAGAUAUGUGAAUCUGAAUCUGAGUUGUCUUUCUUGGGACAGAAAUUAAAAGAUCUUGGGCAAACAAAUUGAAGUCUCUGUGUAAAGCAUAUACGUGCAAUAGAUGCAAUAUACUGUACAUACGUAACCAGCUUGUUCAGAUCGA
Molecule: long non-coding RNA, 2320 nt
Organism: Corticium candelabrum
Lineage: Eukaryota; Metazoa; Porifera; Homoscleromorpha; Homosclerophorida; Plakinidae
Exons: 3
Source: RefSeq, a predicted model, not a curated record